UACAGAGGGUGCGAGCGUUAAUCGGAUUUACUGGGCGUAAAGGGCGCGUAGGCGGUUAGUUAAGAUAGCUGUGAAAUCCCUGGGCUUAACCUAGGAACUGCAGCUGUGACUGGCUAGCUAGAGUACUGUAGAGGGUAGUGGAAUUUCCGGUGUAGCGGUGAAAUGCGUAGAGAUCGGAAGGAACACCAGUGGCGAAGGCGGCUACCUGGACAGAUACUGACGCUGAGGCGCGAGAGCGUGGGGAGCAAACAGG
RNAcentral lists this ribosomal RNA (253 nucleotides) under uncultured bacterium. RNAcentral describes it as "partial 16S ribosomal RNA". It matches the Rfam family "Bacterial small subunit ribosomal RNA", at positions 524 to 776 of the family's 1533-position model. The record is from RNAcentral.